Molecule: long non-coding RNA, 3844 nt
Filed under: Coffea arabica (coffee)
Lineage: Eukaryota; Viridiplantae; Streptophyta; Magnoliopsida; Gentianales; Rubiaceae
Description: long non-coding RNA (CARA_LNC007782)
Source: RNAcentral
AGUUGGUAGCACCGACUGGGACAUUGACCACCGAAUGAAUUGUUUUCCUUUUGAUCCUUAAGUCUUCUAAGCAGAAAGCUACGUGAAUAUAAGAGGAGAAAGUAGCUGCCAAUGGUUAGCCAAAUCCAAGCGGUGACCGAGUGGAGGAAAAAGAGAAACCAACUACAGAACUUGGGCGGUGGCAGAGAGCAAGACAAAAUCUGUAGCACCUCUCCUUACCAAGCUAGCAUCGAGAGAAAACAGAGAGAGUGAGAAAAGAGAGCGAAACUGAGGAAGUGAGAGCAGGGGCUUGGUUGGUUUCUUCACCAAUUAACCCAGGCACAAGAAGAAAUAUCGCAAGGAAAGUAAGGGAGGCUGGAGCUAACACUCGAGGGAACAAAAGUUGGGAAGAGAAACUGAUUACGUCUGCAAUUCCUAACACUUAAGGCCAGAGGUAAGUUUUUGUGAAUAAUGCUUAUGUACUGAAUAGAACUGAGCAUAUGUUAAGCUGUAACAUGUCAUAAAGCCUCUUAACUUCAUCAAGCAAGACCAAAAUGAGUAUAAACUAAGGUGAACAUAACAAGACAAGUGCAUUCGGCUGAUUGCAGGUUGGUUGGUCGAGGGAAUUAAGCAGGAUAUGUAACCUGUUGUUGCUAAUUCUGAAACUCAUACUGUUGACCUUGGUUGAUCAGUCCUUGGUUUUGAUGAUUAACAAACCAAAAUGUAGAUUUGGACUAAUGUUUUUAUGUGAGAAAUUUGUUAGAACAUGUCAUUGAUCCAAAAGAGAAUCGAAAAGAUUUGAAUCAAAGAGAAGCUAAGAAAUAUGAAGGUUCGGACGCUCGAUAGAGGAUCGGACGUCCGACAGACGACGAUACUCUUCGGACGCUUGGAUCGGACGCUCAUUCAUUGCUUCGGCCGUCCGACACAAAAAGAAUGAAAGUUGAACAUUCUGACUUCUAUCGGACGCAGGGUUCGGACGCAGAACAAAUGGUUCGGACGUCCGAUAGGUGGUUCGGAUGCAUGGUUCGGACGCAGAGCAAAUGGUUCGGACGUCCGACAGGCCAAUGGCUAGUUUCGACAGCAUUUAAUAUUUGACCGUUGGAGAGCCUUUUGGAGCCAUUUCUCACCUUCUAUAAAUACCCCAAAACACAAGAAGACACAGACUUUUGCCAACACUAAAUACAAGCUAACAAGUGAGAUCUUUGAGUAGAAAUAUUCUUUGUUGGUUGUAUAAGGGGUUGGGAAAGUUGGAUUGUGAGGUUGCUCAAGUGAAGGUUACUCUCUAUGAGGAGUAAAACCUUGGUGAAGGUGAACCUAUCACUUGGAGUGGUAAAACCUUGAUAAAGGUUGCCUCACUUGUAUAAAGUAGUUCUUAAUUGAGUGGGUAAGCUUUCAAUUGUAGCUAGUUGAGGGUUUACUUGGAGAGUAGUAAAAUUCCUUUGCUCAACCAAAGUAUGUUUGGGGUGAGGAAGGAGUGAGCCUUCACUUGUACAAGUUGGUUAGCACUACCAUCAAUUGAAGAAGCUAUUUGGUGGAUUCAACUCCAAGUUUGGAAGAAGUUUGGGAGUUUGAUUGGUUUGAAUUUCUUUUACUUUAUUGUUACUCUAUUUUUGUGCUUUAAAAUUGCUUAUAUUCUUUGUCAUUGUAUUUACUUGACUACUUGUCUGGUUUAGUAUUUUGGUUGUAUUUGGUUGCAUCGGGGCUUACACAUACUAAUGAAUACAUGGAAGACAUGUUAGUUCUUAACCUUAACAGAUAGGUGCAUUGGAAGUCAGAAACUUCAGGCAGCUCAACUAAAUUAGACAAAAGGGAAGCUGCUACAAUCUGUUAUGAUACUAAAGAGAAGGAACUUAGCUUUUGGAGCAGCUUUUCUUCCAAUUUCUGUGUUCUAUGAACUUCCACAGGUGGAACUAGGGUUGCCCUGUGGUUCAGUAACUACAUUUGGCACUGUGAGUAGAGUUAAAUUGGUGCAACUAAGGAGGGAGCUGUGAAUUAAAAUGCUGAAGUACAUAAUGGCUGAGGGGAAAGGAGUCUUGAUCAGCUUCUCCUUUGAGUUUAGUGCAGAAAUUUUCUACGAUCUGACUAACGCUAUCCUAUAGCUUAAUAAACACGAUUUGUUUAUCUAGUUGGAGCAUGAAAUUGAAAGGAAGGAUUUGAGGGAAACAAUGAAUGCUGGACCUGUACAUUGCUAGGAAGUUGCAUUUGGUUAAAACAGAACUUAUUGUUGUCUUGUUGAAUUUAUGUGUUAAUAGUACAUGUUAUUUGAUUCAACUUCAGCAGGGACGAAAGAAAUACUAAGUGAUCAAUAUUUUAACCAAGUAAAAGAUGAAAUGUUGAUGAAAACUAAGAAGUAUAUUGCUAGAACGUGAGUUGACAGCUGAUAUAGUAAUAAAGUAAAGUUCUAUAAUGUUUUGGAAACUUUAAGGCAAUUUAUUAUAAUUAAAUAUAUAAGACGGUUGCUAAUCACUUAAUCUUGUCUUCAAGAACAUUUUAAAGACCCUAGAACCUAAGGGGGGUUGGUAUCGCGAAACAAAACUUAAUUUACAAACAACUUAGAGUUUAGUUGAGUUAAAAGGGAAUAAAUGGAGUGUCUAUAAGCCAUAAUUGAUGAAUAUUGAAUUGAGAAAGAUAUAUUCUUGAUUUAAAUAUUAUACGAAGAUACAAACCUGGGAAAAAUGUAUAAUUCUUAGUUUGACAUGAUAAAAUUAAUAAAUUUUGAAAUAAAAUGUAAAAUAAAUAUAAAAUAUGUUAUAUUUUGUAUUUUAAAGCCAAAACUUGACUUUAAUAGUUUAAAUGAUAAGGUAAUAAAUGAUAAGUGGUCAUCUAUGAAUUGUAUAUUCACUUUAGAGUUAUAAACUUGUCCCAGGGAGUCUGUGAGCCCGGAAUCGAACCCGAAGCUCGAGAGCAAUUUAUUGGGGUUUUGGUGAGUGUUUCUGAAUUUAUGUGUUUAACCGUUUAUGUUUACUUAAGUGAAAUUAUGUGAUAAAUGUGCUUAUUAUGAAAUAUUGCUAAGUGAUUCAUUGUAAAAUGUAUCUCAAUUGUCCCUCGCCUUCUAAGUUGAGGGUGUACUUUAUCACACUCGGCUUAGUUGAGUUUGAAGGUUAUUGACCAAAUGUUACUGUAAGUGUGCAUGAAUGUAAGCCGUAUGUGUACUUUACCACAUCGGCUGAACUGGACCCCAAAACCCUCUGUUCAACGGACUAUUCGAGCCAACAAAGGGUUUGGUCGGAUAGGACGGAAGCUUUGGGUAACUGUUUCGGUAUACUCAAGUAUUACCCUGAAGUUGGGAGAUUAUUGAACUAAUUACUGAAUGUAAGAGAUUGUUUAUUGUUUUGGAGGACAUAAGGAGGUGAAUUGGCGGAGUGUGCAAUGAUAUUGAAAUGAAUGCACAAUGAUAUUGAAAUGAGUGUCUCAUGACACUGAAAUGAAUGUACAAUGACAUUGAAAUGACUCUCAGGAGGAGUUCGUAUCCUUUUGAAAGUGAUUAUACAGUGAAAUGUGCACUACUUGUUUAAUUUACUGGUUUAAGUGUUUAUUGAAUGUUAUUUGUCCGGAAAACCUCACUGAACUUUAGCUCAACCUUUUAGCUUUGUUUUCCUUACAGGAGUUGAAGUUUGAAGGACAACCAAGUAGAGUUAAAGUGUUUUGGGAGGUCUAAUGUUAUAUAUUGAUGUUAAGACCUGCAUUUUGUAUCUCUUAAUAGAUAGAUUUAUAUUUUACACUAGUUGGUGAUGUACUUAAGAAUGAGCAUUUGGAUGAUUUACUUUUGUAAUUUGUAGUGGACAAAGCUUUUGUCUUACUAAGAAGUAUUAAGAAUGGAUGUUUGGAUGAUUAUUGAGAAAUGUUAUCUCUGAAGUUAAUGUGA